This 465-nucleotide ribosomal RNA is filed under the name Vreelandella stevensii. Its description in RNAcentral is "partial 16S ribosomal RNA". It matches the Rfam family "Bacterial small subunit ribosomal RNA", at positions 338 to 795 of the family's 1533-position model. Lineage: Bacteria; Pseudomonadati; Pseudomonadota; Gammaproteobacteria; Oceanospirillales; Halomonadaceae. The record is from RNAcentral.
CCUACGGGGGGCAGCAGUGGGGAAUAUUGGACAAUGGGGGGAACCCUGAUCCAGCCAUGCCGCGUGUGUGAAGAAGGCCCUCGGGUUGUAAAGCACUUUCAGUGAGGAAGAACGCCUGGUGGUUAAUACCCAUCAGGAAAGACAUCACUCACAUAAGAAGCACCGGCUAACUCCGUGCCAGCAGCCGCGGUAAUACGGAGGGUGCGAGCGUUAAUCGGAAUUACUGGGCGUAAAGCGCGCGUAGGUGGCUUGAUAAGCCGGUUGUGAAAGCCCCGGGCUCAACCUGGGAACGGCAUCCGGAACUGUCAAGCUAGAGUGCAGGAGAGGAAGGUAGAAUUCCCGGUGUAGCGGUGAAAUGCGUAGAGAUCGGGAGGAAUACCAGUGGCGAAGGUGGCCUUCUGGACUGACACUGACACUGAGGUGCGAAAGCGUGGGUAGCAAACAGGAUUAGAUACCCUAGUAGUC